Molecule: ribosomal RNA, 417 nt
Filed under: uncultured bacterium
Lineage: Bacteria
Description: partial 16S ribosomal RNA
Rfam family: Bacterial small subunit ribosomal RNA
Source: RNAcentral
UGGGGAAUAUUGCACAAUGGGCGAAAGCCUGAUGCAGCAACGCCGCGUGAGUGAUGAAGGCCUUCGGGUUGUAAAGCUCUGUCUUUUGGGACGAUAAUGACGGUACCAAAGGAGGAAGCCACGGCUAACUACGUGCCAGCAGCCGCGGUAAUACGUAGGUGGCAAGCGUUGUCCGGAUUUACUGGGCGUAAAGGAUGCGUAGGCGGAUUUUUAAGUGAGAUGUGAAAUACCCGGGCUUAACUUGGGUGCUGCAUUUCAAACUGGGAAUCUAGAGUGCGGGAGAGGAGAAUGGAAUUCCUAGUGUAGCGGUGAAAUGCGUAGAGAUUAGGAAGAACACCAGUGGCGAAGGCGAUUCUCUGGACCGUAACUGACGCUGAGGCAUGAAAGCGUGGGUAGCAAACAGGAUUAGAUACCCCU